Molecule: ribosomal RNA, 300 nt
Filed under: Triticum aestivum (bread wheat)
Lineage: Eukaryota; Viridiplantae; Streptophyta; Magnoliopsida; Poales; Poaceae
Description: partial small subunit ribosomal RNA
Source: RNAcentral
AUGUACUCGUCGCAGUCGUUCCGUCGCAUCAACAACAUCCGCACCUCCCUCAUCAACACCCAGAAGGGAAACUAGUCCGUCGCCUCCUACUUUUCCUCGAUGCGCGGCCUUGCGGACGAACUCGUCGCGGCCGGCAAGCCGACCCAGGAUGAUGAACUCAUCUCCUAUAUUCUUCAUGGGUUGGAUCAGGACUAUCAGCCCCUCGUCUCAGCCCUCGAUGCUCGUGUCACUCCUGCCUCCCUCGACGAGAUCUUCUCCAUGCUCAGCAACUUCGACCAACGCAUGGCUCAGUUCCAUGGC